This 450-nucleotide ribosomal RNA is filed under the name Streptococcus cristatus. RNAcentral describes it as "bacterial SSU rRNA". It matches the Rfam family "Bacterial small subunit ribosomal RNA", at positions 28 to 471 of the family's 1533-position model. Lineage: Bacteria; Bacillati; Bacillota; Bacilli; Lactobacillales; Streptococcaceae. The record is from RNAcentral.
GACGAACGCGGCGGCGUGCCUAAUACAUGCAAGUAGAACGCUGAAGGAGGAGCUCGCUCUUCUGGAUGAGUUGCGAACGGGUGAGUAACGCGUAGGUAACCUGCCUGGUAGCGGGGGAUAACUAUUGGAAACGAUAGCUAAUACCGCAUAACAUUGACUAUUGCAUGAUAGUCCUAUUAAAAGGGCAAAUGCACCACUACCAGAUGGACCUGCGUUGUAUUAGCUAGUUGGUGGGGUAACGGCUCACCAAGGCGACGAUACAUAGCCGACCUGAGAGGGUGAUCGGCCACACUGGGACUUGAGACACGGCCCAGACUCCUACGGGAGGCAGCAGUAGGGAAUCUUCGGCAAUGGACGGAAGUCUGACCGAGCAACGCCGCGUGAGUGAAGAAGGUUUUCGGAUCGUAAAGCUCUGUUGUAAGAGAAGAAACGAGUGUGAGAAGUGGAAAG